UACGAAGGGGGCUAGCGUUGCUCGGAAUUACUGGGCGUAAAGCGCACGUAGGCGGCUCUUUAAGUCGGGGGUGAAAUCCUGGAGCUCAACUCCAGAACUGCCUUCGAUACUGGAGAGCUUGAGUCCGGGAGAGGUGAGUGGAACUGCGAGUGUAGAGGUGAAAUUCGUAGAUAUUCGCAAGAACACUAGUGGCGAAGGCGGCUCACUGGCCCGGUACUGACGCUGAGGUGCGAAAGCGUGGGGAGCAAACAGG
RNAcentral lists this ribosomal RNA (253 nucleotides) under uncultured bacterium. RNAcentral's name for it is "partial 16S ribosomal RNA". It matches the Rfam family "Bacterial small subunit ribosomal RNA", at positions 524 to 776 of the family's 1533-position model. The record is from RNAcentral.